This 339-nucleotide ribosomal RNA is filed under the name Chartergellus amazonicus. RNAcentral's name for it is "partial 12S ribosomal RNA". The record is from RNAcentral. Lineage: Eukaryota; Metazoa; Arthropoda; Insecta; Hymenoptera; Vespidae.
UUUAAUGAAAGAUAAAAAUAUAAGAUAUUAAAUGAUAAAUCAUUAAAUUUAAAAGAUUUGGCUGUAUUUUAUAAAAUUAGAGGAAUCUGUUUAUUAAUUGAUAGUCCACGAUAAGAAAUACUUAUUUAUUAUUUAUGUAUUGCUGUUUAUAGAAUAUUAUUAAUUAAAUAUUUAAAUUUUUAAAUUUUAAUUUAUUUCAAGUCAAAAUAUAGUAUAAUUAAGGAUUUAAUGGAUUACAAUUUAUUUAUUAAUUGGAAAAAUUAAUUUAAUUUAAUUUUAAAAUUGGAUUUAAAAGUAAAUUUAAUAAAUUAAUUAAUUUGAAUAAUAAUUAAAAUAAGU